GAUGAACGCUGGCGGCGUGCCUAAUACAUGCAAGUCGAGCGAACAGACGAGGAGCUUGCUCCUCUGACGUUAGCGGCGGACGGGUGAGUAACACGUGGAUAACCUACCUAUAAGACUGGGAUAACUUCGGGAAACCGGAGCUAAUACCGGAUAAUAUAUUGAACCGUAUGGUUCAAUAGUGAAAGACGGUUUUGCUGUCCCUUAUAGAUGGAUCCGCGCCGCAUUAGCUAGUUGGUAAGGUAACGGCUUACCAAGGCAACGAUGCGUAGCCGACCUGAGAGGGUGAUCGGCUACACUGGAACUGAGACACGGUCCAGACUCCUACGGGAGGCAGCAGUAGGGAAUCUUCCGCAAUGGGCGAAAGCCUGACGGAGCAACGCCGCGUGAGUGAUGAAGGUCUUCGGAUCGUAAAACUCUGUUAUUGGGGAAGAACAAAUGUGUAAGUAACUAUGCACGUCUUGACGGUACCUAAUCAGAAAGCCACGGCUAACUACGUG
Molecule: ribosomal RNA, 497 nt
Filed under: uncultured bacterium
Lineage: Bacteria
Description: partial 16S ribosomal RNA
Rfam family: Bacterial small subunit ribosomal RNA
Source: RNAcentral